This 832-nucleotide ribosomal RNA is filed under the name uncultured bacterium. Its description in RNAcentral is "bacterial SSU rRNA". It matches the Rfam family "Bacterial small subunit ribosomal RNA", at positions 21 to 894 of the family's 1533-position model. The record is from RNAcentral.
GGCUCAGGAUGAACGCUGGCGGUCUGCUUAACACAUGCAAGUCGAACGGGAGUAGCAAUACUCCAGUGGCGGACGGGUGAGUAACGCGUGAGAAUCUGCCUUUUGGUCGGGGACAACCACUGGAAACGGUGGCUAAUACCGGAUGUGCCUGCGGGUAAAAGAUUAAUUGCCAGAAGAGGAGCUCGCGUCUGAUUAGCUAGUUGGUAGGGUAAAAGCCUACCAAGGCAUCGAUCAGUAGCUGGUCUGAGAGGACGAUCAGCCACACUGGGACUGAGACACGGCCCAGACUCCUACGGGUGGCAGCAGUGGGGAAUUUUCCGCAAUGGGCGAAAGCCUGACGGAGCAAGACCGCGUGAGGGAAGAAGGCUCUUGGGUCGUAAACCUCUUUUGUUAGGGAAGAACACAAUGACGGUACCUAACGAAUCAGCCUCGGCUAACUCCGUGCCAGCAGCCGCGGUAAUACGGAGGAGGCAAGCGUUAUCCGGAAUUAUUGGGCGUAAAGCGUCCGCAGGUGGCGAUUCAAGUCUGCGGUCAAAGACUGGGGCUUAACCCUGGAAAGGCCGUGGAAACUGAAAAGCUAGAGUGCAGUAGGGGUAGAGGGAAUUCCCGGUGUAGCGGUGAAAUGCGUAGAGCUCGGGAAGAACAUCGGUGGCGAAAGCGCUCUGCUGGACUGCAACUGACACUCAGGGACGAAAGCUAGGGGAGCGAAUGGGAUUAGAUACCCCAGUAGUCCUAGCCGUAAACGAUGGAUACUAGGUGUGGCUUGUAUCGACCCGAGCCGUGCCGUAGCUAACGCGUUAAGUAUCCCGCCUGGGGAGUACGCACGCAAGUG